RNAcentral lists this signal recognition particle RNA (297 nucleotides) under Aotus nancymaae (Ma's night monkey). RNAcentral's name for it is "Metazoan signal recognition particle RNA (ENSANAG00000011920.1)". It matches the Rfam family "Metazoan signal recognition particle RNA". From Rfam's summary of the family: The signal recognition particle (SRP) is a universally conserved ribonucleoprotein. Lineage: Eukaryota; Metazoa; Chordata; Mammalia; Primates; Aotidae. The record is from RNAcentral.
GCGGGGUGCGAUGGCACAUGCCUGUAGUCCCAGCUACUCAGGAGGCUGAGGUGGGAGGAUUGCAUGAGCCCAGGAGUUCUGGGCUGUAGUGCCCUAUGCUGAUUCGGUGUCCACACUAAUUUUGGCAUCAAUAUGGUGACCUCCUGGGAGCGGGGACCACCAGGUUGCCUAAUGAGGGGUGAACCGGCCCAGGUCGGAAAUGGAGUAGGUCAAAACUCCCGUGCUGAUCAGUAGUGGGAUCGCACCUGUGAAUAGCCACUGCACUCCAGCCUGGCAACAUAGUGAGACCCCGUCUCU